CAGGUGUUUACUUAUUGUGUCCGCUUCCCUCACGCUACAAAGUUAACCAGUAGUAAGCACUUAUUAACUGCUGAAUGGAUAUACGAUAAUAGAAGUCUCCUCUCCAGCCCCUUCAUGUUGGAUGUGCCCACCCCGGGGCUUGGAGACAUGGAUACCCAAGAUUGCACCCAGGACUGGUUUCAACUUCUAGGAUUGAGUUUUCAGCGGAGAGCACCAGACAAAUCGUUUAAGACUUUCACGAUCGCUAAAGGGAAAAGAUGCCGCUCAUAUCUAGCAGAAUAACCUCUUCCCCAGCCCUUGCCCAAAAACGAUGCCUAGUCAUUUCUCCCGCGGGCAAAAGCAGGGCUCCCGGGGCGGGACCCCACCUAGCCAGCGGGGCUCCAGACCCCGCCUCCCGGCCUCGCAGCACCCGGAACCACGGCAAGCACCGCCCCCCACGGCCGCCCGGAAAACCCGGAGCGUGGAGCCCGGCGGCUGGGAACUGCGCGCAGCCGCGCGGCCGCGCUGAGCAUGCUCGGAGAGCGGGUCCGUCGCGGGAGGAAGCGGCGCGGGCUGCGGCCGCUGCACGCCGCGCCGUUGUUGUGGUACAGCCCCCAGCACGUGACUGCGCCGGCCCGCCUCCCCGUGACUCAGCACUUUGUGCCGGCUCCGGGCUGGAGGUCAAUUCCGGGAGGCUGCUCGGGGCAGAGUCCCUGUCCGCCACUCCCGACCGCUGGGCAGCUGCUGCAGCAGGCGUUUAAGGCUCGUCAGUUUUCGGGCCUCCAGGCAAGGAGGAAAAAAUGUAUCAUUUCCCUGUGGUCACGCCAUUCCCAUUUCUCCUGAGUCAGCGGCGCCGCGGAGAGCCCCGAGCGGGCCUCGCAGAGAUCAAGUGAAGAAAGCGGAGGGGCUGUGCCUAGGCGUCUCUGAGGGAGGGACGUGUAGGUUCCAGCCACUUGCGGUCACCUGUCCCAGCCCUUACUGCUCUCUUCGGCCCGGGCAUCCCCUUGAUGGUCUCAGUAACUGACUCUGUAUGGCGCACCUGCUUUAUGCCAAGCACUCUGGUCUGGAAUCCAUAGAACAGUCUUGGUUGUUGCCACGUUUAAUGGAUGAGGCAAUUGAGGUCCAGUAUAGUACGUGGCAGGUAGUGGCUACGCAGGGAUUUGCACUCCAGCGUGAUUUCAAGGCUGGUGCGCUUUCUCCUGAGUCUCAAGGGCUAGAUUGGCUUCUUUCCGUCUUUGUCCCUUGAGACAGCCUUUCCCCAGAAGGCCUCUGAUCUGCCAGUGAGGUGCUUAAGAUUUUCUUUCUUUUUAUGGUAAUUAAUUGGUAGGAACAAACAGUUAUUUCUUAACUUCAGUGUACACGGUACAAAAUGCAGAAGAUAUAGAAAGGAUUUUCUCCCU
Molecule: long non-coding RNA, 1379 nt
Filed under: Equus caballus (horse)
Lineage: Eukaryota; Metazoa; Chordata; Mammalia; Perissodactyla; Equidae
Description: lncRNA (ENSECAG00000060270.1)
Source: RNAcentral